GAUGAACGCUGGCGGCGUGCUUAACACAUGCAAGUCGAACGGUGAAGGCGGAGCUUGCUCUGCUGGAUCAGUGGCGAACGGGUGAGUAACACGUGAGCAAUCUGCCCCUGACUCUGGGAUAAGCGCUGGAAACGGCGUCUAAUACUGGAUACGAGCUGCGAAGGCAUCUUCAGCAGCUGGAAAGAAUUUCGGUCAGGGAUGAGCUCGCGGCCUAUCAGCUUGUUGGUGAGGUAAUGGCUCACCAAAGCGUCGACGGGUAGCCGGCCUGAGAGGGUGACCGGCCACACUGGGACUGAGACACGGCCCAGACUCCUACGGGAGGCAGCAGUGGGGAAUAUUGCACAAUGGGCGAAAGCCUGAUGCAGCAACUCCGCGUGAGGGACGACGGCCUUCGGGUUGUAAACCUCUUUUAGCAGGGAAGAAGCGAAAGUGACGGUACCUGCAGAAAAAGCGCCGGCUAACUACGUG
Molecule: ribosomal RNA, 468 nt
Filed under: uncultured bacterium
Lineage: Bacteria
Description: partial 16S ribosomal RNA
Rfam family: Bacterial small subunit ribosomal RNA
Source: RNAcentral